UCCUGGCUCAGAUUGAACGCUGGCGGCAUGCCUUACACAUGCAAGUCGAACGGUAACGCGGGGCAACCUGGCGACGAGUGGCGAACGGGUGAGUAAUGCAUCGGAACGUGCCCAGUAGUGGGGGAUAGCCCGGCGAAAGCCGGAUUAAUACCGCAUACGACCUACGGGUGAAAGGGGGGAUCGCAAGACCUCUCGCUAUUGGAGCGGCCGAUGUCAGAUUAGGUAGUUGGUGGGGUAAAAGCCUACCAAGCCAACGAUCUGUAGCUGGUCUGAGAGGACGACCAGCCACACUGGGACUGAGACACGGCCCAGACUCCUACGGGAGGCAGCAGUGGGGAAUUUUGGACAAUGGGCGCAAGCCUGAUCCAGCCAUGCCGCGUGCGGGAAGAAGGCCUUCGGUUGUAACG
Molecule: ribosomal RNA, 407 nt
Filed under: uncultured bacterium
Lineage: Bacteria
Description: bacterial SSU rRNA
Rfam family: Bacterial small subunit ribosomal RNA
Source: RNAcentral